This 493-nucleotide small RNA is filed under the name Pan troglodytes (chimpanzee). RNAcentral's name for it is "retained intron". The record is from RNAcentral. Lineage: Eukaryota; Metazoa; Chordata; Mammalia; Primates; Hominidae.
UUUGAAACCGAAAGAUGGAAAUAUAGAAGAAGUUAAUAGUUUAAGAAAGCAAAGAGCAGGUUCUUCAUCUUCAAAAAUGAACAGUUUGGAUGUUUUGAAUAAUUUGGGAUCUUGUGAACUGGAUGAAGAUGAUCUAAUGCUUGAUCUUGAAUUUUUAGAGGAACAGAGUCUUCACCCUUCUGAACUACUGCAGGAACAUACCAGGAAAGCCAAGAGAAUCCACAGACCUUUGAAGGAAUUGGAUCACCACCACAGGCUCCCUGAGACGGCAAAAAACUUUUGCCGGGAGGACUCAUAUCACUCUGUCGUCUCAUGUGCCGCAGUAGUUCUUACUCCUAUGGAACCAACGAUAGAAAUGAAGAAAAGAGAAGAACCAGAAUUUCCUGAGCCUUCCAAACAGUGAGUUGUUCAUUUAAUUUUUCAAGGCCUUGUAAAAUCAAUUAGAUAACUGAUAAGAAAAUGUGAUUUAUAAUAAAUGUGUUAAUAUUAGUAU